AAUCACUUUACAGAUUGACUCAGGGAGGAGCUGAGCUGUUACUGAACUAUAGAAGAGAGAGGAACUUCUAUAUUCAACAGAGAUCAAUACACAAACCAUCAACAUUACCUUUAUUCAACAUGCUGUCACUGCAGCAUUGUAUGUUUUCUCUGUUGUUUCUUUCCAUCCUCACAGGUAUCAGCUGUGAAGAAAUCACUCCAGUAGAGACAGAAAAGACCAGUUUAGAAGGCAGCUCUGUUACUCUGUCCUACAGAUACUCCAAACAAGUAACUGGUACUGACUAUUUCUACUGGUAUCGACAAUAUCCAGGAAAACCACUGGAGUUUCUCAUCUUUCUCUUGGGAACGCAAAAUGCUGCAAACUCUGGACUGUCUGCUUCAGUAAGUGUGAGUGAGGAUACAACCAAAAUAGAUCUGCAGAUCAUCUCAGCUGCAGUGACAGACUCUGCUGUAUCUCCUCUGCUGCAGUGA
This is a non-coding RNA of Sander lucioperca (pikeperch), 470 nucleotides long. Lineage: Eukaryota; Metazoa; Chordata; Actinopteri; Perciformes; Percidae. The record is from the annotation of a RefSeq genome assembly.